GACAGAGGGUGCAAGCGUUGCUCGGAUUUACUGGGCGUAAAGCGUACGCAGACGGUGAGAAAGGUCGAAUGUGAAAGCCCCGGGCUCAACCCGGGAACUGCAUCCGAAACCAUCUCGCUAGAGUAUGAGAGAGGGAAGCAGAAUUCCUGGUGUAGAGGUGAAAUUCGUAGAUAUCAGGAGGAAUACCUGCGGCGAAGGCGGCUUCCUGGCUCAUUACUGACGUUCAGGUACGAAAGCGUGGGUAGCAAACAGG
This 253-nucleotide ribosomal RNA is filed under the name uncultured bacterium. RNAcentral describes it as "partial 16S ribosomal RNA". It matches the Rfam family "Bacterial small subunit ribosomal RNA", at positions 524 to 776 of the family's 1533-position model. The record is from RNAcentral.